This 221-nucleotide long non-coding RNA is filed under the name Elaeis guineensis (African oil palm). RNAcentral's name for it is "long non-coding RNA (EGUI_LNC055936)". The record is from RNAcentral. Lineage: Eukaryota; Viridiplantae; Streptophyta; Magnoliopsida; Arecales; Arecaceae.
AUGCAAGCAGAAAGGUGGAGACCUAUUAAUUUUGUUCGAUUGCCAAAGGAUUGUUGGGAUGUGCAGGGGUUUCAUGCAUGCAUUUCAAAAAAAUUUUAGCAGAAGAAUAUUAGAUUAAAUUAUUUAAUUUAUAAAUAUAUGCAUAAGAUCUGAUCUUAAAACUCCUACAAAUAGAUCGAUGACAUGAAUUUAUAUGCAUAAAAAUUUGAAUCUAAAACAAC